RNAcentral lists this ribosomal RNA (342 nucleotides) under Mesomycoplasma ovipneumoniae. RNAcentral's name for it is "Mycoplasma ovipneumoniae partial 16S ribosomal RNA". It matches the Rfam family "Bacterial small subunit ribosomal RNA", at positions 71 to 406 of the family's 1533-position model. Lineage: Bacteria; Bacillati; Mycoplasmatota; Mycoplasmoidales; Metamycoplasmataceae. The record is from RNAcentral.
UAUGUUAGCUUGCUAAUAUAUUUAGUAGCAAAUGGGUGAGUAACACGUACCUAACCUACCUUUUGGACCGGGAUAACUAUUGGAAACAGCAGCUAAUACCGGAUAAAAUAAAAAAAUGCAUGUUUUUUAUUAAAAGGAGCCUUUAAAGCUCCACCAAAAAAUGGGGGUGCGCAACAUUAGUUAGUUGGUAGGGUAAAGGCCUACCAAGACGAUGAUGUUUAGCGGGGCCAAGAGGCUGUACCGCCACACUGGGAUUGAGAUACGGCCCAGACUCCUACGGGAGGCAGCAGUAAGGAAUAUUCCACAAUGAGCGAAAGCUUGAUGGAGCGACACAGAGUGCAG